UAGGCUAAAGUCAGUCACACACCUCGACUUUCUUCCAAAUAACGCACAUUUCAUUCAUAAUGUUAUAAUACAGGCCUAUAGUUCCUGCAAAUGAUACUAGGCAAUACAAAACGAUUAUGCGGUCAUCAAGGUGAAUUGGUUUAGUCUUGACUUCUGGUCGUGAGUGACAGGUGGGGGGAUGGGAAAUCUGUUGAUUGUCGAGUGCCAAAUAAACAGAGAUGGAGAAGAAAAGGUCAAAGCCAGGUGCCCAAUUUCGAAAAAAAAGAAAAGAAGAAGAGGAGAAACGAGCAAAAGAUAAAGGGGCACUUCUAAAAUAUUUUGGAGCAUCCUCUGCCACUGGUCAGGAUGAGCCAACCACCUCCUCCGCUACACAUGUCUCCACAAAUAUCUGAUAUUGUGGAUGAAGACCUCUUUGCCUCUACUUCUACCCAGCAUGAGCUUUCAGAAAUGCCUGGAGCUGAACUCCCACUGAGCCCCACUGGCCCUCACAUCUGACUGACAGGAUUCGGACUGAGCUGGUUCACAGAGGACCAAGUAAAGUGCCACCUGGCUUUGUUUACCGUAGGAAUGAGAGUAAUGGGAGAAGUUGCCACCACUAAUAUUUUAAGAAGACAUUAGUAAGUGGUGAAAAGAUGGCAAGAAGUUGGCUGAUUUAUUUAAUUAAGAACAACAGCCUCUUUUGCUUCUGCUGCAAAUUUGUUUUCCAAGAGGAACAUCAAUUUAACAAGUGCAGGAAUGGCAAAUUGGAAACGUGCAUGCAAUAAUCUGACAUCAUA
Molecule: long non-coding RNA, 776 nt
Organism: Carassius gibelio (silver crucian carp)
Lineage: Eukaryota; Metazoa; Chordata; Actinopteri; Cypriniformes; Cyprinidae
Exons: 3
Source: RefSeq, a predicted model, not a curated record